Non-coding RNA from Camellia sinensis, 1870 nucleotides. Lineage: Eukaryota; Viridiplantae; Streptophyta; Magnoliopsida; Ericales; Theaceae. The record is from RefSeq and is a predicted model, not a curated record.
UGCUAAUAGAAGCAAUUGAAUGUUUUGCUUGAGUAUGUUGCUAAUAUUACCUUUCUGUUAUAUUUACCUUUUGUGUUUACAAAGGUUGAAAUUCUGUUAUGUUUCGAAGUAAGCAAAAUUGAGUUCAAUAUACUACUAUUACUACAUAAUCAACAAAUAUUGAAGGAAAACUGCUCUUUUGAUUUUGAUUGUUCAAUCAAUUUGAUAGAGUGGUCUUUUUCACUGGUUUAGUUUUUAAAUUAUUAAAACUAAAUUGACACUUUCCAAAUUUAAUUUAUUCUAGUUCUUGUGAAGCAGGUGCUGAAUGCUGGCAAAAAUAAGCUUAAAUCAAUGGAUGAGGUCAAAUCUCUUUUGAGCUUACAUGCAUUGAUCUUGAAUGGUAUGGUCUGCUCCAAAUUAUUGUUAUCGCUGUGGUAAUGUAGCUUCAAUAUUGAGCUUCAAUGAGAAUAUGGAGAGAGAGGUGAAGUUCUUCACUGAAACAGAGGAAAACAACCAGAUGAGAGGCCCCAGAAGAUAUGAAGUUCUUAUGAGUGAGGAUUUGUUUGCUUCAUUACCCUGUACUAUUGUUUGAAGUUUGAUGCACUGCCGUUUUCAUUGUGGGCGGGAGAGAAAGAAGAUAUGGACAGAAAUUGUCUUCAUUAAACUUAAAUUGCAAGUCCAUGUUGACUUACCCACUCAAGAUUCGGGAUUCGCUAAAGAGAAUUAGAAAGAGCCAAAGCUUGCUAGCAGUUCCCAAAGAAGCUCGUGAUCCAAAAGAUGAUCAAAUUGUUCAAUCUUUCCGUGAAUUGCUUUUGCUCAAGGGCCAUCUGCCAGGGAAACACAGUGUGAUUACCACACACUUUUACGAGUGUAGCUGUGACUUGGUACAAUGGCAUUGUGGAAAGUACUGUCCACCUCCAGUCUUGCGGUGUAGGUUAGCCUAACAUGGCUGCAGAUUUGGCUGAUGCUGUGAUUGAAAGUCUUCCAUACGUUGGAGCGAUGGCAGUCUCAAAUCUUGAAGCUUGACAGUCUCUAGUUCCUCUUGGAAGCGUUGAAGAACUAUUGGCAGCGUAUGAUUUGCAGCGUCGGGAGCUUCCACCACCGGUCACGGUGUGGGAAUGGGGAUGGACAAAAAGUGCUGAAACUUGGAAUAAUUGUAGUGUAGUGAUAUGAAGAAAAUAAUACAUUUUUUUUGCAGUUAUUUUAUUCCUUGGUGACUGCACAAAGCCUCCUCAGCUGUCCAUGGUGACUGAAUACGUGGAAAUGGGAUCAUUGUAUCAUUUAAUCCAUGUGAGUGGGCUGAAAAAGAGACUCAGCUGGAGAAGGAGAGUGAAAAUGAUAUGUGAUAUAUUCAGGUGCAUUUGACCAUCAACUUUUCCAUUGCACUACCUCAUUGACAUUGCACAUUUAUGUUGGUACUACUGCUAAAUAAGUAACUUAUGGUUGCUUUUGGAGCUCAGUAUAUUUUUUUAUGUUAGUAUAUUUGCUUUUGCAUUAAUGAAUGAGCAUUCUUUCACUACAGGAAAUAUCUGUUUUGUGGAAAAUGAUUACUCUUUUUUUUAUAUUUACCAUAGGCCUAUAUUAUUCAAUUAAAUGUUGAAGGUGUAUUUCCUCGUUAAGUAUUUUGUAAUUUUUCAGCUGAGUUUAAAAUGAAAAGGUUAUUAUUCCUUUUGUCAUUUGCAAUGACUACUUGUUCAAGCUUUUGCUGAUUGGAGAUUCUGGAGUUGGAAAAUCAUGUCUUCUUCUGAGAUUUGCUAAAUUGCUGUUCUGUUGUUUGAUUCUCCUCUUGAGCUCUGUUCUGUUCCUCACUGUCACUGCGAGAUCGCCGAUCUUCAAGGUAUGUUUCGUUUCUCUACUUUCUUUUUGAUCUAUACAAAUUGCAUAUAUAUAU